AAAAAACUAAAAUUUUCCUUAAUUUUCUUUUACUUCCAGGUCUUAAAAUUCAGGUGGACCAAUUCUAGUUCCUAGACCUCUUAUUCCGUUUGGGAUUGGUUAGGAAUUCAGUUGGCACCCGGGAUAGAUAACCGAAGAGUUAAUCCGGUCUAAUUUGAUGAUAAAAUGAUUUAAAAUUCAGUGUUGGUUCCGGAGGAGUUUAGAUUCCAAUAAUAUGGUUUUUAUGGACAUCCAAUUGUUCCUGCCAACAACAGGAAGCAAGAAGUAAAACUUCCAUCUUCGAAAAGUAAAUUGUUUAUAAUUUAGCUCGGGGAUAAACCGGAUCUGGCAAUUCUUUUUCAGCGGCAACUAGCUGGUUUACGGGAGGCAAUUAUAGAGCGGGAAGAGUUCUUUUGGCUGAUGAGGCUUUCCUGUCAGUCCGUAUUAGGGUCCGUUCGUGUAAACCAGGGUUUUUGUUAUAAAUAUAUAUGGCUAAGACCACCUGAGAUCUCAAAAUCACGCGUUACUUUGUAAAAGGCCUGAGCUCAACCCUGUUCGCGCACGUUUGAAAAAAAAGCAAACGGAAUGGAUUCGAUACGAUGAAUGAUAGAAAUUAUUUAAAAAGGACACUCGUCCGGUCCGCCUUGUCGUCCGGGUGCAAACUCACAGAAGGUCGGAAAACCAAAAAUUAUACCAAAGCACCCCAGGCGUGGUGGUGCUGGAAAACAGCUUCUCCCUCGUUGGAUGGAGUCGGUGUUGAAGUGGCUUUGCAGGUUUGUGUUUUGCUUUGGUUUAAUUUAAAAAUUUAGUUUUAAGUUUAGUUUUAAGUUUAGUUAAUUCUUUUUUUUUUUAAUAAAAUUGAUUUAAUUUAUAAAAAA
Lucilia cuprina (Australian sheep blowfly) is the source of this 857-nucleotide long non-coding RNA. RefSeq lists it as uncharacterized. The transcript is spliced from 7 exons. The record is from RefSeq and is a predicted model, not a curated record. Lineage: Eukaryota; Metazoa; Arthropoda; Insecta; Diptera; Calliphoridae.